AUGGCGAAGCGCAAGUCGAUGAGUUCCAAGAUGGCUCAGCGGAAGAAGCCGGCGCCCAAGCUGGAGACCUCCUUCUGCUGCCCCUUCUGCAACCACCCCGGCGGCGUGUCCUGCACCAUCGACCUCAAGCUCUACGUCGCCACCGCCGUCUGCUACGUCUGCCAGGAGUUCUACCACACCACCGCGCACUACCUCACCGAGCCCGUCGACGUCUACCACGACUGGAUCGACGCUUGCGAGAUGGCCAACCAAGGCGUCGAACUCCAAGCCCUGGACUACCACAAACAACAGCGGCGAGUCGGCAGCGACGACGACGACGAUGCCUGA
This 327-nucleotide ribosomal RNA is filed under the name Triticum aestivum (bread wheat). RNAcentral describes it as "partial small subunit ribosomal RNA". The record is from RNAcentral. Lineage: Eukaryota; Viridiplantae; Streptophyta; Magnoliopsida; Poales; Poaceae.